GACGAACGCUGGCGGCGUGCUUAACACAUGCAAGUCGAACGGAAAGGCCCUGUUUUUUUCGGGUGCUCGAGUGGCGAAAGGGUGAAGAACACGGGAGUAACCUGCCCUGGACUUUGGGAUAACUUCAGGAAACUGGGGCCAAUACCGGAGUGUAGUGCCUGUGCCAUGGUGUGGGUUGGAAAGAGUCGGCGGUUGGGGCUGGUUUGGCGGGUUAUCAGCUUGUUGGUGGGGUAGUGGCUUGCCGGGGCUUUGACGGGUAGCCGGCCUGAGAGGGUGUGCGGCGCCACUGGGACUGAGAGACGGGGCAGACUCCUACGGGAGGGAGCAGUGGGGAGAAUUGUGCAAUGGGCGGAAGCCUGAUGCAGCGACGCCGUGUGCGGGAUGACGGCCUUCGGGUUGUAAACAGCGUUCUCCUGUGAGGAGGCGUGAGUGACGGUAAUGGGUAAAGAAGCGCCGGCUAACUACGUG
RNAcentral lists this ribosomal RNA (468 nucleotides) under uncultured bacterium. RNAcentral's name for it is "partial 16S ribosomal RNA". It matches the Rfam family "Bacterial small subunit ribosomal RNA", at positions 28 to 507 of the family's 1533-position model. The record is from RNAcentral.